GCAUCGGUGGUUCAGUGGUAGAAUGCUGCCGGUCUACGCUCGGUGGCCCGGAUCGAUUCCCGGCCGAUGAA
This is a non-coding RNA of Trichonephila inaurata madagascariensis, 71 nucleotides long. The record is from the annotation of a GenBank genome assembly. Lineage: Eukaryota; Metazoa; Arthropoda; Arachnida; Araneae; Nephilidae.